This 416-nucleotide unclassified non-coding RNA is filed under the name soil metagenome. Its description in RNAcentral is "partial contains 5.8S ribosomal RNA, internal transcribed spacer 2, and large subunit ribosomal RNA". The stretch from base 1 to 120 matches the Rfam family "5.8S ribosomal RNA", at positions 35 to 154 of the family's 154-position model. The record is from RNAcentral.
GAUGAAGAACGUAGCGAAAUGCGAUAAGUAAUGUGAAUUGCAGAAUUCAGUGAAUCAUCGAAUCUUUGAACGCACCUUGCACUCCUUGGUAUUCCGAGGAGUACGCCUGUUCGAGUGUUAUGAAGCUCUCAAAACGCAAUUGGCUUAAAACCUGAUUGUUGUUUUGGAUUUGAACUUUGCCGUGUUAUAACGGCUGGUUUUAAAAGUAUUAGCUGGUACUAGAACGAAUUGGUUCUACUCAACGUGAUAAUUAUCUGAUCGUUGAGGACAUUCCUUUCACGAGGAAUGGCCAUAGUAAAUUCAAUGGACUGCUUCUAAUCUGGCUUUAAUUCUUUGUUGGAUUAACCACUUUUCAAAUCUGACCUCGAAUCAGGUGGGACUACCCGCUGAACUUAAGCAUAUCAAUAAGCGGAGGA